This 110-nucleotide ribosomal RNA is filed under the name Acanthosepion pharaonis. The record is from RNAcentral. Lineage: Eukaryota; Metazoa; Mollusca; Cephalopoda; Sepiida; Sepiidae.
CAGUCAUAUAAUGUUGAAACACCAAUUCCAGUACGAUCACCGAAGUUAAGCAACGUCGAGCCUGGUCAGUACCUGGACGGUGACCGCUUGGGAAUGACAGGUGUUGUAAG